UCAACACGCCCAUUUGCAACACAGCUUUGAAGAUCUGCUGGCAUCUUCCAGGCUACAGGGCUUAUUUCCUUAGACUAUAGCAGGAAAACAAAAUCCUAUCACACAUCACUGCUGAAGAUCUGGGGGAUUUUUUGGUGGAGAAGAGCAAACAGACAUUCAGAGAGCAGCUUCGGGACUUGGAGGAUUUUGAGGAAAAAGAAGCCAAACCACUUCUGAAAAAAGUUUUAAAAAAACCAUUUUCUGUGUUUUCGGCCAAAAUUGACUGGCAUUUGGAACUGUUCAUUAUUCAUUUCACCUUGACUAAAGACCUAGUUCCAGCUGAAGACAAGCAACCCCAAACCAUGAUAUUGCCUCCACCAUGCUUCACCAAGGGUAUGGUGCUCUUUUGGUGAUCUAAACUGAUUAUGCAACUUAUUAUGAACUUAUGCAGUUUAUGCAGGUUUAUUCUACAAUGGCAGAUGGCUGCGUCUCCCUCAGCCUGGUUCUCCCGGAGGUUAUAUCCUGCACUUAAACUUUUGAUAUAAAGCACCCUCAGGCGG
This is a long non-coding RNA of Oreochromis aureus, 539 nucleotides long. RefSeq lists it as uncharacterized. Lineage: Eukaryota; Metazoa; Chordata; Actinopteri; Cichliformes; Cichlidae. The transcript is spliced from 3 exons. The record is from RefSeq and is a predicted model, not a curated record.